UGAUGACGUAUUUCACCUUUUUAUGGGAAUGCAGUGUCGUAGGAUAUACCCUGCUGCUUAGCCUGAUUGAAUACAAGACUCUUGUGAUGCGAGGCGAUUUGGAUAGAGCCAAUCAGAUUUUACCUACAAUUCCUAAAGAGCAGCAUAACAAUGUUGCUCAUUUCUUGGAAUCUCGGGGAAUGAUUGAAGAUGCUUUAGAAAUUGCAACAGAUGCUGACUACAAAUUUGAUCUGGCCAUACAACUGGGUAGACUUGAAAUGGCAAAGGAAAUCGCUGAAGAAGUACAGAGCGAGUCUAAAUGGAAGCAGUUAGGAGAGUUAGCCAUGUCCUCUGGGAAGCUUCAACUGACCGAGGAUUGCAUGAAGUACGCUAUGGAUUUGAGUGGUUUGUUACUACUAUAUUCUUCUUUGGGAGAUGCUGAAGGGGUGUCAAAACUUGCAUGCCUUGCUAAGGAACAGGGGAAGAACAAUGUUGCCUUUCUUUGCUUAUUUACGCUGGGUAGAUUGGAAGAUUGUCUGCAGUUAUUGGUAGAGAGUAACCGGAUACCAGAAGCUGCUCUGAUGGCACGAUUUUAUCUUCCAAGCAAAGUUUCUGAGAUAGUAGCUCUUUGGAGGGAAGAUCUCAGCAAGGUUAAUUCAAAAGCAGCAGAAUCAUUAGCUGAUCCGGAGGAGUACCCAAAUCUUUUUGAGGAUUGGCAAGUUGCUCUUUCUGUUGAAGGAAACACUGCAAAGACAAGGGGAGUUUACACUGCUGCAGAAAAUUAUCCAUCCCAUGCCGAUAAAUCUUCCAUUACCCUCGUGGAAGCCUUUAGAAACCUGCAAGUGGAAGCAGAGGAAUCACUUGAAAAUGGAGACGUCGAUCACGAGGUAGCAGAAGAGAACGGUCAUGUAGAGAAUGAAGGAGAUGAAGAGGAACAACAGGAAAAUCACUCCCUUUUUUUUUUGGAAGAAGAGGGAGUUGUGGAUGCAGACUCUACGGAUGGUGCUGUACUUGUUAAUGGAAGUGAGGGUGAGGAAGAGUGGGGUACGAAUAACAAAGGAAACCCAUCAGCCUAAUAAGCAAAAGUCAGUCCAAGAUCAAUGUUGAAUAGUCGAAAUUUUUGUCUAUGUGCUGACGCCAGAUCCCUAGAGCUAGUUCCAGUAGCCGCCACCAAUACUCCAAGGAAUGAAUUCUUGGUGGAGGGAGAUGAAGGAAAAAAAAGAAAGAUUGGGAUUGGGUGUGUGGGUUAAGGAAAUUGUAGUUGAUUUGUGUGGUUUAUUGGGAUCCCAGGUGGUGGUGGUAUUACGGUUUUCAUACAAUGAUUAAAAAGCACAUUAUAGAGUUUUACAUUCCUCUGCUAUAUAGAUUUUCAUCAGCUCAUGUUUACA
Molecule: non-coding RNA, 1367 nt
Organism: Camelina sativa (false flax)
Lineage: Eukaryota; Viridiplantae; Streptophyta; Magnoliopsida; Brassicales; Brassicaceae
Source: RefSeq, a predicted model, not a curated record